GAACGCUAGCUACAGGCUUAACACAUGCAAGUCGAGGGGCAGCAUGGUCUUAGCUUGCUAAGGCCGAUGGCGACCGGCGCACGGGUGAGUAACGCGUAUCCAACCUGCCUUACACUCUUGGACAGCCUUCUGAAAGGGAGAUUAAUACAAGAUGUUAUCAUGAGUAAGCAUUUUCGCAUGAUUAAAGGUUUACCGGUGUAAGAUGGGGAUGCGUUCCAUUAGAUAGUAGGCGGGGUAACGGCCCACCUAGUCUUCGAUGGAUAGGGGUUCUGAGAGGAAGGUCCCCCACAUUGGAACUGAGACACGGUCCAAACUCCUACGGGAGGCAGCAGUGAGGAAUAUUGGUCAAUGGACGAGAGUCUGAACCAGCCAAGUAGCGUGAAGGAUGAAGGUUCUAUGGAUUGUAAACUUCUUUUAUACGGGAAUAAACGGAUCCACGUGUGGAUUUUUGCAUGUACCGUAUGAAUAAGGAUCGGCUAACUCCGUG
This 487-nucleotide ribosomal RNA is filed under the name uncultured bacterium. RNAcentral's name for it is "bacterial SSU rRNA". It matches the Rfam family "Bacterial small subunit ribosomal RNA", at positions 31 to 507 of the family's 1533-position model. The record is from RNAcentral.